CUACCCUUACAAUGAUCCCCAAAGGGAAUCAAAUACAACUUCUCCCAUACAUGCUGCUGAUACAGACAUUCCCAAGACUGGGUAAUUUAUAAAGAAAAAGAGGUUUAGGCCAGGUGUGGUGGCUCAUGCCUGUAAUCCCAGCACUUUGGGAGGCUGAGGUGGGCGAAUUAUGAGGUCAGAAGUUCAAGACCAGCCUGGCCAACAUGGUGAAACCCUGUCUCUACUAAAACUCACUCACUCCCACAAGAAUGGCACGAAGCCAUUUAUGAGGAACCCAUCCCCAUGACCGUAAGUCUUGCAAGAAAAUUGUGGCAGGAUAUUGUCAUCAAGAAUGACCUAGGAGUACGAUAUAAGCUCUGAGCUUUUCAUAUGUGGCCUUUAUAUUGUUGAGGUAACAUUUCUUCUAGAUUUAAUUUGUUGGCUGUUCUUACCAUGAAAGGAUGUUAAAUUCUUUCCAA
RNAcentral lists this long non-coding RNA (458 nucleotides) under Homo sapiens (human). RNAcentral describes it as "non-protein coding lnc-PTER-4:2". Lineage: Eukaryota; Metazoa; Chordata; Mammalia; Primates; Hominidae. The record is from RNAcentral.